GAGAAGCAAUACCGCGAGGUGGAGGCAAAACUUCAAAAAUGGUCUCAGUUCGGACUGUAGGCUGCAACUCGCCUACACGAAGUUGGAAUUGCUAGUAAUCGUGGAUCAGCAUGCCACGGUGAAUACGUUCCCGGGUCUUGUACACACCGCCCGUCACACCAUGGGAGCUGGUAACACCCGAAGUCAGUAGUCUAACCGCAAGGAGGACGCUGCCGAAGGUGGGAUUAGCGACUGGGGUGAAGUCGUAACAAGGUAAC
This 257-nucleotide ribosomal RNA is filed under the name uncultured bacterium. Its description in RNAcentral is "partial 16S ribosomal RNA". It matches the Rfam family "Bacterial small subunit ribosomal RNA", at positions 1244 to 1500 of the family's 1533-position model. The record is from RNAcentral.